Orcinus orca (killer whale) is the source of this 5716-nucleotide long non-coding RNA. RefSeq lists it as uncharacterized. The transcript is spliced from 4 exons. The record is from RefSeq and is a predicted model, not a curated record. NCBI's taxonomy places the organism in Eukaryota, Metazoa, Chordata, Mammalia, Artiodactyla, Delphinidae.
GGGGGGGGCAUUGUGCGGGCCGUACCAUUUGGAGGGGUGAGUAUGCAAGGAACAGACAUUACAGGCCUAAGAGAAAUAAAGUGUCUUAGAGACUCAUUCCAGGGGGAUUCACAACAGUUUGACAAAUCAGAUGCUUUCUAAGAGAACUGGAUUCAGGAAAGAAACAUAUGUCUCCUCCUACAUCACCCCCAAGUUGUGUGGGAGUGAGUUGGGUCCCCGUGGCUGCUACUGAUUGCUCGAAAUAGAGUUACGCGGACCAGUAAGAAAAAGAAAGGAAAAUCGCUGGCCUAUCGAAAGAGAAAAGCAGGUACUAAGUAGGUGGAUGGAAGGGUUCAGCCAGAGGUGGAGUCUCCUAGGCGUGGUAGUUUUAGGAUAUGUCCAUACAUUCAUGAUACCUCUCUUUUCAAGAGGUGGACCCUAAUUCCCCUCCCCUUGAGUAUAAGCUGGACUCAGUGAUUUGCUCCUAACGAAUAGAAUAAAAGUGAUGGUGUGAGACUUUGGAGGCCUGGUCACGAAAGGCACUUUGGCUUCCUGCUUGCUCUGUCUUGGGUCAAUCGCUCUGGAGGAAGCCAGCCGCCAUGGCAUGAAGACACUCAAGCAGCCCUAUGGACAGGUCCACAUGCUGAGGAACUGAGGCCAACAGCCAACAACCGUGGCAGUGACACCCUGGGAAGGGGAUCCUUCAGCCCCAGCCAGGCCUUCAGACGACUCCAGAUCUGGCCAACUUCACUACAAAUCGCAUGAGAGACACAUCCAUCAAUGAUUCACGCCUGCAACAAUUACUACUGUGGUAUUUGCUUAAGGGCUUCCCUGGUUGCUUAGUGGUUAAGAAUCCGCCUGCCAAUGCAGGGGACACCAGUUCGAGCCCUGGUCUGGGAAGAUCCCACAUGCCACGGAGCAACUAAGCCCGGGCGCCACAACUACUGAGCCUGCGCUCUAGAGCCCCUGAGCCACAACUACUGAGCCCACGUGCCACAACUACUGAAGGCCAUGUGCCUAGAGCCCAUGCUCCGCAACAAGAGAAGCCACCGCAAUGAGAAGCCUCUGCAUCGCAAUGAAAAGUAGCCCCUGCUCGCCACAACUAGAGAAAGCCCAUGUGCAGCAAUGAAGACCCAACACAGCCAGCAAUAAAUGAAUAAAUAACUUUAUUUUAAAAAAUGUAUCUCAUAGAAUUUGAUAUGUAGUAUUUUCAUUAUCAUUAUUUUUUGGAAUUUUAUAUUCCAGUUUUUCACCUAAUUAAUUUGUUUUUGUCUUUGUUAAUGAUUUCUCAUUUUAUUACAUUCUGCUCAGAGACUAUUGUUUAUAAUAUUUCCAUUUUAUUCAACUUACUGAUGAUUUCUUUGUGACCUAAUAUAUGAUUAAUUUUUUGUGAUAUUUUGUUUCUUUGGAUUUAUGGUCGUUUUUUUUCAGGGGGAAAUUUCCUCAGUUAAUGUGUACUGGAUUUUAUUUUCUGACUAUUUUUUGGUUUUUAAUAAUAGUUCCAGAUGGAUCUGUUACUCCUUUUCUUGUUCAUUUUUUGUGAUAUUGGGGUGUUUUACAAGAUUCCUAGCUCUAUAGCACACUCUUAUGUCAAUAUAGCAAAGUCCAGACACUUCAGUGCAUUUUUUUUUUUUUUUUUGCGGUACGCGGGCCUCUCACUGUUGUGGCCUCUCCCGUUGCGGAGCACAGGCUCCGGACGCGCAGGCUCAGCGGCCAUGGCUCACGUGCCUAGCCGCUCCGCGGCAUGUGGGAUCUUCACGGACCGGGGCACGAACCCGUGUCCCCUGCAUCGUCAGGCGGACUCUCAACCACUGAACCACCAGGGAAGCCCUACUUCAGUGCAUUUUAAUUUGUUUGUCUGGUUGGGGAAAGGGGUUUGUGUCCUCCAGUUUCUUUGUUUCUCUUUUGUCUUGCAAGACCCUAAAUUUUUCACUUUUGCUUUUUCCCCCUUCAUCACUCAAUUGCCCAAAGACUCUUCGACCAUUUGGUGUUUUUCUUUUUCCUUUCCCAGAACCUAUGUAUUUUAAAGACUGACGCUUCAAAUCCCACAUAUCUUUUAGUCCCUUCCCUGUAGUCUGCACGCUGAUCCCCCAGGACAUUUUCCUGUUUGUUAUUUACAGACUGCAGAUGACAUCGUCUUCCUGAUGGAGGUUCUAGAUCGACCUUGGGCCCUAUUGCCAACUCCCCUCUUCUGUCUCUUCCCCGUUUAUCUUGGUACAGAGCCUGGUGGUAGGGCUGUGUGGGGCUGGAGCGCAAGAGGUCCGCACAGCCCUGUGGGGGGCUUUCUUUUUAUUUACAGUUAUGUUGAAGUUCGGACAUGCUCUGCUUUCAAGUUAUGCUGAGGCUAUGGCAGAGUUUUAUUUCCCAUUCUUGUUUCGAUUUGCUUGGGAAGGAAGCACUGAGAGAUGGGGACAUAGGCAGCCGCCCCGGAAGUCCCGCUGCUUUUCCUUUGAAACUCAAAAAAAAGUUACAGAGGAACAUUUUUUUUUUCUUUUUUAAAUUUGACUGCGUUAGUUCCCCUACCAGAGGUUGAACCUGAGCCCUCAGCAGUGAAAGUGCGGAGUCCUACCAACUGGACCGCCAGGUAAUUCCCCUUCCUUUGUAACUUUAAAAAAUAUAUAUAUAUUUAUUUAGGCUGUGCUGGGUCUUAGUUGUGGCACGUGGACUUCUCAGUUGCAACAUGCAUGCUGGGAUCUAGUUCCCUGACCAGGGAUCGAAUCCGGGCCACCUGCAUUGGGAGCCCGGAGUCUUACCCAUCGGACCAGUAGGGAAGUCCCUUCUUUGUAAGUUUUUUUUAAAAUGAAUUGAUUAAUUUAUUUAUUUUUCUUUUUGGCUCUGUUGCAUCUUUGCUGCUGCAUGCGGGCCCUCUCCAGUUGUGGUGAGCAGGGGAUACUCUUUGUUGCCCUGCCCAGGCUUUUCAUUGCGGUGGCUUCUCUUGCUGCGGAGCACAGGCUCUAGGCCCACGGGCUCAGUAGUUGUGGCUCACAGGCUCUAGAGCACAGGCUCAGUAGUUGUGGCGCACGGGCUUAGCUGCUCCGCGGCAUGUGGGAUCUUCCCAGACCAGGGCUGGAACCCGUGUCCCCUGCAUUGGCAGGUGGAUUCUUAACCACUGCGCAACCAGGGAAGUCUCCCUCCUUUGUAACUUUUAAAGAUGGAGUUUAGCUCAUUUGUUUGGACCCUUUCUUAUUUUCCAAUAUAUACAGUUGAGGUCAUAAAUUUCUCUCUAAGAAUUUUUAGCUGGGUCCUCCAAAAUGGAUAUACGAUAUUUUCAUUACGACUGUAAUCUAAAACAACACAAAUUUAUAAUCUAUUUUCUAAUUUCUGUUGUGGUUUUUUUUCUCUUGGCCCAGACAUCUCAUAAAAUGUUUCUUAAUUUCAAAAUAGGUAGGAUUUUUUUUUAAUCUGUCUGUUGACGAUGUUUAACUUAAUUAUAUUGUGGUAAAAAACAAACGAACAAACAACAGACUGAAUGAUUUUAACUUUUUGAAAUUAGUUCAGUUGCCUGAUGAUCUAGAAUUUGAUCGAUUUAUUGGGAAAUGUUCUGCAUACACUUCUGCAUUUAGGUGCAAUGGUCCACUAGGUCAGAUUUGUUAACCAUAUUCUUCAUAUCUUUUAUACCCUUGCUAAUUUUUUCUUUUUUUUUGCCUGCAUGUGCCAUAGAAUCUACAAAUACGAUUGUGAUUUAAUCUGCUUUUCCUUGUGGCUUUAUUCUCUAUAUAUAAAUCUUUAUUGCUUGUUAAUCUUACUUUUAAGAAUAAAUUAAGAAUAAAUAAAUUUAAAAUUGCUGUGUAUUUUAAAAAUCACUAAGUAAGCAUGCUCUUUCUCCCUAGUAAUGCUUUUAACCUGAAAUUUAUUUUUUUCUGAUACUAAUACUGUAUAGCUAUUCCAGCUUUUAGUAAGCAUUUGCCUGAUAUUUUUUCCAUCCUUCUGUUUCCAAACGUUUUAUAUCCUUAUAUUUAUAUGUAUCUUUUAUAAAUACAGGCAUACCUCAGAGAUAGUGUGUGUUUGGUUCCAGACUACUGCAGUAAAGUGAAUAUCACAAUAAAAUAAGUCACAGAUUUUUUGGUUUUUCAGUGCAUAUAGAAGUUAUGUUACACUCUACUAUUGUCUAUUAAGUGUACAAUAGCAUUAUGUCUAAAAAAAGGUACAUACCCUUAAUUUAAAAAUACUUUAUUGCUAAAAAAUGGUAACCAUCAUCUGAGCCUUCAGGGAGUCAUAGUCCUUUUGAAAUAGCAACACCAAUCGCUGAUCACAGGGACUCUCCUGGUGGCGCAGUGGUUAAGAAUCUACCUACCAAUGCAGGGGACACGGGUUUGAGCCCUGGUCCAGGAAGAUCCCACAUGCCGCGGAGCAGCUAAGCCCGUGCGCCACAACUACUGAGCCUGUGUGCCACAACUACUGAAGCCCGUGCGCCUAGAUCCUGUGCUCCGCAACAAGAGAGGCCACCGCAGUCAGAAGUCUGUGCACCACAACGAGGAGUAGCCCCUGCUUGCUGCAACUGGAGAAAACCCACACGCAGCAAGGAAGACCCAACGGAGCCAAAGAGUCACUGAUCACAGAUCACCAUAACAAAUAUAAUAAUAAUGAAACAGUUUGAAGUUUUGCAAGAAUUACCAAAAUGUGACACAAAGACACGAAGUGAGUGAAUGCUGUUGAAAAAAUUACACUGAUAGACUAGCUCGACACAUGGUUGUGAUAAAAGAAACGUUCACAUAUUGAGGUGUGGGGAAGUCAUUCUGGCUUAUACAUGAGUUAACUUGAAUUUUAUGCUAACAAAAACAGCCUGUUUGUGGCCUAUCAAACAUACAUUGUACAUCUGCUUUAAUUAUUAAAUAAAAAGACACAUUGACCAGAAGUAAAGAAUGUCCAUGUUUAAAAUAAUGAUUAAAUGCCUCUCUUCCUGGGAUGUCGAUGCUGAUCCUCCUUUGAUGAUAAGACCGGUUCCCAGAUGCUAAGGCCAUACUGACUUGCUGUAUACUUGCUGGUCUGUUUUUUUUUUUUUUUUUGAAACCGUGAAGAAAUGUAUUCCUGAUUUGUUGAAUGUUCUUUGUUCUGGCAAGAUAUAAAACCAUGCUGAAAAUCAUGCUUCUCUGGAGCAGUUGCUCAGAGUAAUCUGGAAAGCUGGCUUCCGGGCUCUAGCCCUCAGUUUGGCUCAAAUAAAACUCUUUUCUAGGGUAUUCCCUGGUGGUCCAAUGGUUGGGACUCCACGCUUCCACUGCCAGGGGCAACUAAGAUCCCACAACUAAGAUCCUGCAAGCCGUGCGAUGCAGCCAAGAAAAAAACAAACAACAACAAAACAAAACAACUCUUCUAUUCCUAUUAUAGAUUGUUUAUUCAUUAUUUUUGUUGACAGUUGUCACAAACCUUCGAUUUGUAAAAAAUGCAAUAUCUGUGAAGUGCAAUAAAGCAAAACGCAGUAAAUGGACAUAUGCCUCUAACUCGUAGUGCAAUUAUUUUACAAAUAGUAUAUUAGUUAGCUCAGUAGAAAUUAUGUUGUGAUAAAUGUAGUAGGCAGAAUAAUGAUCUCCCAAAUAUGUGCACAUCCCAGUUCCUGGAACCCAUGAACAUAUUAUCUUGCACGGCAAAAGGGACUUCACAGAUAUGAUUAAGGACCUUGAGAUGGCGAGAUUAUCCUGGAUUAUCCAGGUGGGUUCAAUGUAAUCAUAAGGGUCCUUAAAAGUGGGAAAGGAGUCAGGGUCAGAAGAUGCUAUUCUGCUGUCUUUGAAAAUGGAGGAAG